This 67-nucleotide transfer RNA is filed under the name Loxodonta africana (African savanna elephant). It matches the Rfam family "tRNA". From Rfam's summary of the family: Transfer RNA (tRNA) molecules are approximately 80 nucleotides in length. Their secondary structure includes four short double-helical elements and three loops (D, anti-codon, and T loops). Further hydrogen bonds mediate the characteristic L-shaped molecular structure. tRNAs have two regions of fundamental functional importance: the anti-codon, which is responsible for specific mRNA codon recognition, and the 3' end, to which the tRNAs corresponding amino acid is attached (by aminoacyl-tRNA synthetases). tRNAs cope with the degeneracy of the genetic code in two manners: having more than one tRNA (with a specific anti-codon) for a particular amino acid; and 'wobble' base-pairing, i.e. permitting non-standard base-pairing at the 3rd anti-codon position. Lineage: Eukaryota; Metazoa; Chordata; Mammalia; Proboscidea; Elephantidae. The record is from Rfam by way of RNAcentral.
GGUGCAGUGGUUAAAAGCUCUUGGCUGCUAACCAAAAGGUCUGUGGCUCGAACCCACAGCUGCUCCA